GCGUUCAUACCAGCACUAAUGCACCGGAUCCCAUCAGAACUCCGCAGU
This 48-nucleotide ribosomal RNA is filed under the name Chenopodium album (lamb's quarters). The record is from RNAcentral. Lineage: Eukaryota; Viridiplantae; Streptophyta; Magnoliopsida; Caryophyllales; Amaranthaceae.